UCUCAAGACAUGCAGAGUGAAGAAAUAUAUGUAUGUACACUUGGCAGGUGCAGAUGUAAAUUGCUAUGUAUUUUUAGAACAGUAUCAAACACAAUUAUUUGCAUUCUGAUUGCUAUGCACCGAGGUAGCAGACAGCAGAUACAAAAGCAUUGUAUAUUUAUGCGUGAUUGUGCUAUAACCGGUUUUGUUAGUACUAUGUGUAACUGCUGCCAAGAAAUGCCUGAAACUUUUGGAAUACUAAAAAAAGAUGAUGACAAAUUGAGAAAGCUAGGACAUAUAUAUUUACAACUGUGUAAAAAUAACCAUUUUAGCAAGUUUAGCUGGAGGUAAGAUACAUGGUAGUUAUGACGUACCAGGC
Molecule: non-coding RNA, 358 nt
Organism: Pelobates cultripes (western spadefoot toad)
Lineage: Eukaryota; Metazoa; Chordata; Amphibia; Anura; Pelobatidae
Source: the annotation of a GenBank genome assembly